Molecule: ribosomal RNA, 660 nt
Filed under: uncultured bacterium
Lineage: Bacteria
Description: bacterial SSU rRNA
Rfam family: Bacterial small subunit ribosomal RNA
Source: RNAcentral
AGUGGCGGACGGGUGAGUAACGCGUGAGAAUCUGCCUUGGGGUCGGGGACAACCACUGGAAACGGUGGCUAAUACCGGAUAAGCCGAUUGGUGAAAGAUUUAUUGCCCGAAGAGGAGCUCGCGUCUGAUUAGCUAGUUGGUGAGGUAAGAGCUCACCAAGGCAGCGAUCAGUAGCUGGUCUGAGAGGACGAUCAGCCACACUGGGACUGAGACACGCCCCAGACUCCUACGGGAGGCAGCAGUGGGGAAUUUUCCGCAAUGGGCGAAAGCCUGACGGAGCAAGACCGCGUGAGGGAGGAAGGCUCUUGGGUUGUAAACCUCUUUUCUCAGGGAAGAAGCUCUGACGGUACCUGAGGAAUCAGCCUCGGCUAACUCCGUGCCAGCAGCCGCGGUAAUACGGAGGAGGCAAGCGUUAUCCGGAAUUAUUGGGCGUAAAGCGUCCGCAGGUGGCGAUUCAAGUCUGCUGUCAAAGCACGGGGCUUAACUCCGUAAAGGCAGUGGAAACUGAAUAGCUAGAGUGCCGUAGGGGUAGAGGGAAUUCCCGGUGUAGCGGUGAAAUGCGUAGAGAUCGGGAAGAACAUCGGUGGCGAAAGCGCUCUACUGGACGGCAACUGACACUCAGGGACGAAAGCUAGGGGAGCGAAUGGGAUUAGAUACCCC